RNAcentral lists this ribosomal RNA (654 nucleotides) under uncultured Russula. Its description in RNAcentral is "eukaryotic LSU rRNA". The stretch from base 267 to 421 matches the Rfam family "5.8S ribosomal RNA". Lineage: Eukaryota; Fungi; Basidiomycota; Agaricomycetes; Russulales; Russulaceae. The record is from RNAcentral.
CUUGGUCAUUUAGAGGAAGUAAAAGUCGUAACAAGGUUUCCGUAGGUGAACCUGCGGAAGGAUCAUUAUUGUAUAACGGAGGUGCCGGGGCUGUCGCUAACUUUGUGCACGCCCUGGUGCUCUCUUACAAUCCAUCUCACCCCCUUUGUGCAUCACCGCGUGGGUGCUCUCCUUUUGGUUUGUUCCGAAAGGGGGCAUUUGCGUUUUUAUACAAACCACCGCAUGUGUAGAAUGUCUUACUAUUUGCGAUAAUGCGCAAUCAAUACAACUUUCAGCAACGGAUCUCUUGGCUCUCGCAUCGAUGAAGAACGCAGCGAAAUGCGAUAAGUAAUGUGAAUUGCAGAAUUCAGUGAAUCAUCGAAUCUUUGAACGCAUCUUGCGCUCCUUGGUUAAUCCAAGGAGCAUGCCUGUUUGAGUGUCAUUAAUGUCUCAACCACGCCGUGAGGUCGUGGCUUGGAUUUGGGGGUUACAGGCUCUGAACUUGUGGUCUGCUCCCCUGAAAUACAUGAGCGGUGAACGACCCUCUCCGUCGAGAUGUGAUACAUAUCUGCAUCCAGUUGAGGGUUUUGCUGCCGCGAGAGUUGGAUUUGAUAAACUUGACCUCAAAUCAGGUAGGACCACCCGCUGGGCUUAAGCAUAUCAAUAAGCGGAGGA